ACUCCUACGGGAGGCAGCAGUGGGAAUAUUGGACAUGGGGGAACCUGAUCCAGCCAUGCCGCGUGUGUGAAGAAGGCCUUUUGGUUGUAAAGGCACUUUAAGCGAGGAGGAGGCUUACCUGGUUAAUACCCGGGAUAAGUGGACGUUACUCGCAGAAUAAGCACCGGCUAACUCUGUGCCAGCAGCCGCGGUAAUACAGAGGGUGCAAGCGUUAAUCGGAUUUACUGGGCGUAAAGCGCGCGUAGGUGGCUAAUUAAGUCAAAUGUGAAAUCCCCGAGCUUAACUUGGGAAUUGCAUUCGAUACUGGUUAGCUAGAGUAUGGGAGAGGAUGGUAGAAUUCCAGGUGUAGCGGUGAAAUGCGUAGAGAUCUGAAGGAAUACCGGUGGCGAAGGCGGCCCCCUGGACAGAUACUGACACUCAGAUGCGAAAGCGUGGGGAGCAAACAGGAUUAGAUACCCUGGUAG
This 464-nucleotide ribosomal RNA is filed under the name uncultured bacterium. Its description in RNAcentral is "bacterial SSU rRNA". It matches the Rfam family "Bacterial small subunit ribosomal RNA", at positions 335 to 793 of the family's 1533-position model. The record is from RNAcentral.